AGCGAACGCUGGCGGCGUGCUUAACACAUGCAAGUCGAGUGCGCGGUUCGUAGCAAUACGAACUGGCGCACGGCGCACGGGUGAGGAACACGUGGGCAACAUGCCCUCCGAUGGGGAAUAACCCGCCGAAAGGCGGGCUAAUACCGCAUACGAUUCCGGGGACCUCGGUUCCUGGACUGAAAGCCCGCAAGGGCGUCGGUGGAGUGGCCCGCGGCCGAUUAGCUUGUUGGCGGGGUAACGGCCCACCAAGGCAAUGAUCGGUAGCCGGUCCGAGAGGAUGAUCGGCCACACUGGAACUGAGACACGGCCCAGACUCCUACGGGAGGCAGCAGUGGGGAAUAUUGCGCAAUGGGCGAAAGCCUGACGCAGCGACGCCGCGUGUGGGAUGACGGCCU
This 395-nucleotide ribosomal RNA is filed under the name uncultured bacterium. Its description in RNAcentral is "bacterial SSU rRNA". It matches the Rfam family "Bacterial small subunit ribosomal RNA", at positions 28 to 417 of the family's 1533-position model. The record is from RNAcentral.